UUUCCGUAGGUGAACCUGCGGAAGGAUCAUUAAAUAGUACCACAGAUUACAUAUGCAAAUAUGACAAUCUACUACUAUAUACCACUCCGAGUACUCUUUUUCCAUGUUGCUUCCGCGAGGCAGUCACUUCAAGUGGCCGUUUGCUCCGGAUCUCCCUUCUUGGAGAGCCGGCUGUGGGCGAGAUUUCCUUGCGAAAGGUCAAUUACAAAUCCAAUUAUGUUUUUAUUUUGUGUCUGAAUAGAUUUUUUUUUCUUUCUUUUUUUAAUUAAUAAAUACAAAAAAAAUAAAAUAAAAUACAAAACUUUCAACAACGGAUCUCUUGGUUCUC
RNAcentral lists this unclassified non-coding RNA (328 nucleotides) under plant metagenome. RNAcentral describes it as "partial contains small subunit ribosomal RNA, internal transcribed spacer 1, and 5.8S ribosomal RNA". The record is from RNAcentral.